Small nucleolar RNA from Arvicanthis niloticus (Nile rat), 135 nucleotides. RefSeq annotates it as small nucleolar RNA SNORA17. Lineage: Eukaryota; Metazoa; Chordata; Mammalia; Rodentia; Muridae. The record is from RefSeq and is a predicted model, not a curated record.
UCUGCCCUUUUGGGCAUUGCAGAUGUGACUGCUGUGUCACAUGAGCACUAGUAGGUGGCAGAGAGUAGAAAAGCUAUGUUUACAUUUAGUGCUCUGCCCUAUUAGCCAGGAAUCAAAGAUAAGGAGCUAGCCUGA